CGCCUGGCACGCGGUCAACAUA
This 22-nucleotide unclassified non-coding RNA is filed under the name Human gammaherpesvirus 8. Its description in RNAcentral is "miR-K9". The record is from RNAcentral. Lineage: Duplodnaviria; Heunggongvirae; Peploviricota; Herviviricetes; Herpesvirales; Orthoherpesviridae.